AGGCAUGUUAUUAUGACAGUUUAUUCUAUAUCAGCAAGUAAUCCUUCCACCAAUCCCCAUUCCACGUAUUCCAGCAACACACAUUUGAGGAACGAAUACUAUUAAACUUGUAUACGGUUUACUAGUUAUUUGUCUUAGUGGAGGUUCUAAACUCUACUAAAGAUGGUGUAAUAAGAAUGAAUAGUCGAGUUUUCUGUGUAAUUGUACUAGUAAGCUUAGUUCCACAAGCCUCCUUAAUGUGCCUUGAGCCAAGUUAUCGGUCCGGUCUGCGAAACCAUAUCGAACAGUACGCCGACGCCCCCUUCAUUUUAGUGGGCAGGGUGGUAGCAACGAAACAAAACAAUACCCACCAAGCCGUCAAACUGUUCGUUACCUGUAUAUACAAAGCCCCAAAGGAAAAACGGGAAACAAUGCUCCAUCAGGAGAUAAACUUCACAAUGCAGUACAGACGAUGUUGGGAGCCACUCCUCAAGCCCAAUCAGAAUUACUUCUUCUUUUUCGAGGAGAAAGUCAUGACUAGAAAAAACAAGAGACGACGGAAGAAGAAAAAGAACAGUGCCUCCGACUUUACCCGAAUGUCACAACAAAAAAAGAAAUAUAUAUCCCUCCAAGCACCUAUUCCAGUUCCAGAAAUGGACGUAACAUCUCUGGAGCGACUUAUAGAGCUUACAGUUAAUAUCACGGAAUACAAUCCUGUCGGACAUUGUUACAGUAAGUAUUAUAGAGCUUACAGUUAAUAUCACGGAAUACAAUCCUGUCGGACAUUGUUACAGUAAGUAUUAUAGAGCUUACAGUUAAUAUCACGGAAUACAAUCCUGUCGGACAUUGUUACAGUAAGUAUUAUAGAGCUUACAGUUAAUAUCACGGAAUACAAUCCUGUCGGACAUUGUUACAAUGUUUGGUCUCCGUGGUCGUCCUGCACAACUAAAUGUGGAGGAGGCACGAUGGAGAGGAUUUACCCCCGACACCAGGAGGAUAAAAGUAACCUCCAUCAGCUGGCAGUCUGCCAACAUGCCCCGUGCGACCAGGGCAGCAGGGACUCUAAAACCAAAUUCCAGUUCCAGCCUAUCAGUAUCAACAACUGUAAAUCCAUGGAACUCGUGGAAGUCCCAUGGUGUACUAAGCAGUGUGACGACCCAGUGGCUGAAAUCAACACAGCAGUUUCUUGGGAGAUGCACCCUACGCUGAUGCUGUGUACGGACCACACCAACCAUCAAGAAUCACUUCAAUAUCACAAUGUGGCCAUUGCCAGCGAUUGCGGGUGUGUUCGACGAGACGUGUUCGAAAAGUAUGCCGUUAUCGGGGGACCGUCCAAGUCCAUCGUCACCGACCAACGUCAACGCCAUUCCAAGAAGAGAAACCUAAACUCUAAAACCAUGAACUCCAAGGAGAGACAUCCCGAACCGGAGAGACAUCCCGAACCGGAGCCAGUAAAACUGCCGGCCACAUAAUCCUAGUCCCCGAGCCCGGGGAUUGCUGGUUCCCAUCUUACUCAACCUGAUGACACCGUGUCACGUGUCGCUGACUAUAAAGCAGCCGAAUAGUCCAAGAAAAAGCUUCUGACGACACUGCUCACGUGACCUCACUCUAAAGUGAGCAUGUACCCACGUGACCUCACUCUAAAGUGAGCAUGUACCCACGUGACCUCACUCUAAAGUGAGCAUGUGCUCACGUGACCUCACUCUAAAGUGAGCAACCCGCAGAAGAGAACUGACAAUUACCUUGUAUUUGAUCUGCUUCUUAACAAUUGCUAAUAGUUAUAUUUGAUGAAAAUUUCUAAGUUAUAUGUGGGAUGAAAACCUCCCCCGUUGAUCGGUUAGUUGCAGUUUUACACGUGCAACUCAAACCUCGCAAUGUGAUAUCACGUGAUAUAGGAUGUCACGUGAUAUAGGAUGUCACGUGACAUAGGAUGUCACGUGAUAUUGGAUGUCACGUGAUAUUGGAUGUCACGUGACAUAGGAUGUCACGUGAUAUUGGAUGUCACGUGAUAUAGGAUGUCACGUGAUAUUGGAUGUCACGUGACAUAGGAUGUCACGUGAUAUUGGAUGUCACGUGAUAUAGGAUGUCACGUGAUAUAGGAUGUCACGUGAUAUAGGAUGUCACGUGAUAUUGGAUGUCACGUGAUAUUGGAUGUCACGUGAUAUUGGAUGUCACAGCCUCUACUAUGUCACGUGAUAUAGGAUGUCACGUGAUAUAGAUAGCAGGGCUGUCAGAGUAACAGCUCCCAGAUUAUUUUGUCGUGUUACCCGGUUUUGUCGUUAUAUUGUCUUUUGAUUGCUUCACGUACCUUUUAGUGGAAAAUAUUCAAAAUAUGUUUGCGUCAAAUUGAUGAUGCUGGACAUUGUUUUUCAGCUGGCCUAACUUUAUUUAAUGAAUUGCGGACAGGAUCGUUUUUGUUCUACUUCUAGAAUCCUAACUACAAAUCCUGAAAUGAAUAUAGUUUUUCAGUGCCCACAGUUUGUUCGGAUGAGCGAUCACAGAUUGCCGUGAACUUUUUCACCCAAUAGUUUUAAUUUAAAAUAAAUUUUUUAAAUGACUCAAAACUGGUCAACCUUAAUUUUCGAACCAACCUCAUAGAUGCUAAGAAUUUAGAUUUAUUGUCAGAUCAUUGUCUUUUAAAAAUACAGCUCUUAAACCAGGCCAGGACGUCACUCUCUGAGAUCGUGUGUGAUCGUGAAAAGCCAUAAAAAUACACUAUAUGCGUUUACUGCAUAAGUGAAUACUUUGAGCUGUCCAAAAAUAAUGAAAUUGAUUGGGUGGAGCAAAAGUUUCAGCAAAAACGAACUUCUAGGGCGCCGUUUAAAUAAGAUUAUAAACGUAUUUUCAAAGAAAAUUUUAGGUUAAGUAUUGACUAGAUGCAUUUUUUAAUUAUUUUUAUUUUGUAAAUGUUAUUUUCGAUUGUGAAUAUAUUUCUAAAAAUGCAACACGCUCCCUUUUA
This is an RNA transcript of Bolinopsis microptera, 2938 nucleotides long. RefSeq lists it as uncharacterized. The record is from RefSeq and is a predicted model, not a curated record. The transcript has 12 exons. NCBI's taxonomy places the organism in Eukaryota, Metazoa, Ctenophora, Tentaculata, Lobata, Bolinopsidae.